RNAcentral lists this unclassified non-coding RNA (324 nucleotides) under Hevea brasiliensis (rubber tree). Lineage: Eukaryota; Viridiplantae; Streptophyta; Magnoliopsida; Malpighiales; Euphorbiaceae. The record is from RNAcentral.
GGAACAUCUGACUGAACUUGAGAGUGUGCUGUUCGCCGGCGAGUUGGAGGGAGCCGGAGACGAAGACGAUCAUGCCGCCGGCGGGGCCGGAGAGCUGGCAGUCGAUGGUGGAGAUCUGGUGGGCGCACUGCUGGAAGGGGAGGCCAGUGAGCUUGGCGACGAUGGCUUGGGCGCCCUGGGUCUUGGCGCCCUCGAAGGAGAGCAUCGACGAGUCCUGGUAGAGGUUGCCGAGCGCCGGCCGGUUGUUGUCAAAGGUCUGGUAGUAGUGGUUCACGAAGGCCUGAGCCACCGAGUCGGGAUCCGCCGCCAUCUCCGCCGCCGCUC